GACGAACGCUGGCGGCGUGCCUAAUACAUGCAAGUAGAACGCUGAAGGAGGAGCUUGCUUCCCUGGAUGAGUUGCGAACGGGUGAGUAACACGUAGGUAACCUGCCUGGUAGCGGGGGAUAACUAUUGGAAACGAUAGCUAAUACCGCAUAAUAGCAGUUGUUGCAUGAUAACUGUUUGAAAGGUGCAAUUGCACCACUACCAGAUGGACCUGCGUUGUAUUAGCUAGUUGGUGGGGUAACGGCUCACCAAGGCGACGAUACAUAGCCGACCUGAGAGGGUGAUCGGCCACACUGGGACUGAGACACGGCCCAGACUCCUACGGGAGGCAGCAGUAGGGAAUCUUCGGCAAUGGACGGAAGUCUGACCGAGCAACGCCGCGUGAGUGAAGAAGGUUUUCGGAUCGUAAAGCUCUGUUGUAAGAGAAGAACGAGUGUGAGAGUGGAAAGUUCACACUGUGACGGUAUCUUACCAGAAAGGGACGGCUAACUACGUG
This 495-nucleotide ribosomal RNA is filed under the name uncultured bacterium. Its description in RNAcentral is "partial 16S ribosomal RNA". It matches the Rfam family "Bacterial small subunit ribosomal RNA", at positions 28 to 507 of the family's 1533-position model. The record is from RNAcentral.